RNAcentral lists this transfer RNA (77 nucleotides) under Candidatus Collierbacteria bacterium. Its description in RNAcentral is "tRNA-Arg". It matches the Rfam family "tRNA". From Rfam's summary of the family: Transfer RNA (tRNA) molecules are approximately 80 nucleotides in length. Their secondary structure includes four short double-helical elements and three loops (D, anti-codon, and T loops). Further hydrogen bonds mediate the characteristic L-shaped molecular structure. tRNAs have two regions of fundamental functional importance: the anti-codon, which is responsible for specific mRNA codon recognition, and the 3' end, to which the tRNAs corresponding amino acid is attached (by aminoacyl-tRNA synthetases). tRNAs cope with the degeneracy of the genetic code in two manners: having more than one tRNA (with a specific anti-codon) for a particular amino acid; and 'wobble' base-pairing, i.e. permitting non-standard base-pairing at the 3rd anti-codon position. Lineage: Bacteria; Candidatus Collieribacteriota. The record is from RNAcentral.
GCUCCAAUAGCUCAACUGGAUAGAGCGUCGGCCUUCGAAGCCGCAGGUUGCAGGUCCGACUCCUGCUUGGAGCACAA